UGAAUAUUUCAGCAGUUCCUACAGAGUUGAAGGACUUUUGAGGUCAAUGAGGCCCAUCUACCUCCUCCUGCAAGAAUCUUCUUUAUAGCAACUGUCAUUCAGAUUGAUCCAGUUACUAAAGCAUAGGAACACUUCUACAACUACCAUCAUACAUCAAAAUAUAUAUUGCCAGUUCUUCUCUGAUGCUGAUUUCCA
This 195-nucleotide long non-coding RNA is filed under the name Mustela putorius furo (domestic ferret). RNAcentral describes it as "lncRNA (ENSMPUG00000031431.1)". The record is from RNAcentral. Lineage: Eukaryota; Metazoa; Chordata; Mammalia; Carnivora; Mustelidae.